RNAcentral lists this long non-coding RNA (455 nucleotides) under Elaeis guineensis (African oil palm). RNAcentral's name for it is "long non-coding RNA (EGUI_LNC045264)". Lineage: Eukaryota; Viridiplantae; Streptophyta; Magnoliopsida; Arecales; Arecaceae. The record is from RNAcentral.
GAAAAACUUUGCCCCGGCUCUUACGAGAAUCGAGCUACUCCAACUCCCGGAGGGCUUCUCCGUUCGGACUAUCAAGGGAGCCGAACUUAGCCCCGACUUCAGCGGAGAAGAAUCCGGGCGAACCUGACAAGUGGGUAUCCCCGAACGACACAAAAGCCAAAAAGGAGCUCGGCAAAUGACGACCCCACGUGAACUGAAAAAGUCGCCGAUGACCUUGGAACAACGUGACACAGACAAAGAGAACGAAAGGAAAAUGAAGAAGUCCGGCAGACAACUAUUUAACACAAGAUGAAAACAAGGUACUGAAAUUACUUUUUCAUUUAACAGAAGUACACAUUACAGGACCCGGUGGGUCAGGAAAAAAGAAGAUACACGUCAUCACAAGUAUCGCGGGCACGGUUCGGGCAGGACGAAUCGGAGACCGCUCCGAGCUACGAACUCCGUCUCUAUCCUUC